CCUACGGGAGGCAGCAGUGAGGAAUAUUGGUCAAUGGACGAGAGUCUGAACCAGCCAAGUAGCGUGAAGGAUGACUGCCCUAUGGGUUGUAAACUUCUUUUAUAUGGGAAUAAAACAGGGUAUGCAUACCCUCUUGUAUGUACCAUAUGAAUAAGGAUCGGCUAACUCCGUGCCAGCAGCCACGGUAAUACGGAGGAUCCGAGCGUUAUCCGGAUUGAUUGGGUUUAAAGGGAGCGUAGGUGGAUUGUUAAGUCAGUUGUGAAAGUUUGCGGCUCAACCGUAAAAUUGCAGUUGAAACUGGCAGUCUUGAGUACAGUAGAGGUGGGCGGAAUUCGUGGUGUAGCGGUGAAAUGCUUAGAUAUCACGAAGAACUCCGAUUGCGAAGGCAGCUCACUGGACUGCAACUGACACUGAUGCUCGAAAGUGUGGGUAGCAAACAGGAUUAGAUACCCUAGUAGUC
RNAcentral lists this ribosomal RNA (460 nucleotides) under uncultured bacterium. Its description in RNAcentral is "partial 16S ribosomal RNA". It matches the Rfam family "Bacterial small subunit ribosomal RNA", at positions 338 to 795 of the family's 1533-position model. The record is from RNAcentral.